GUUGUUCAUCACACAUUGGAAAUUGGUACACAGACUGCAGCUAAUCUAAAGGGCCAUGUAACACAAAGCAUGCACCAUCUUGUCCUCAUAUUCUUAUGAGGCGCACUGACCUAGAAAUUUUAGACUGAUCAAAUGGGGGCGGGUUGUGAACGAGCUAGACACGAUCCAGUUCUCUAUCAAGAAACCCUCGCAGCUGGUGAAAGAGAUAGGGAAGACAGGUAGCUACAGAUAAAUGCAUAAUGAUGUUCCUGUUUCUAAUUGUUUGCUGUGUUAUAGCCAUUAUCGUAGUGAAGAUCGUGAACCCAAACAACAAAGAUAUUAGAGACAUCCCUGGAAUAGGUCCUCCAGCGCGAUGCGAUCGAGAAGGCUAUUAUACUUGAGGAAUCCAGACCAGAGUACUUUUAGUUGGACCGGUUGGACCGAGCAAAGGACUCCAUGGUCGAGAAGGGUUUCGUACACAUUAAACUUUGUGUUACAUUAGUGGUUUUGUAUUACAUCAUCAUUCUUUUAAUCCUAUGCCCGUAUGUAAAAGUUUUAGUUCUAACUAAUAUUAUUCUUUUCAAAAAUAUAUGUAGUCCACUGA
Molecule: long non-coding RNA, 583 nt
Organism: Brassica rapa (field mustard)
Lineage: Eukaryota; Viridiplantae; Streptophyta; Magnoliopsida; Brassicales; Brassicaceae
Source: RefSeq, a predicted model, not a curated record